GCCCGGGUGGCUCAGUGGUUUAGCGCCACCUUUGGCCCAGGAUGUGAUCCUGGAGACGUGGGAUCGAGUCCCACGUCGGGCU
Molecule: non-coding RNA, 82 nt
Organism: Canis lupus familiaris (dog)
Lineage: Eukaryota; Metazoa; Chordata; Mammalia; Carnivora; Canidae
Source: Rfam